RNAcentral lists this ribosomal RNA (330 nucleotides) under uncultured bacterium. Its description in RNAcentral is "bacterial SSU rRNA". It matches the Rfam family "Bacterial small subunit ribosomal RNA", at positions 35 to 334 of the family's 1533-position model. The record is from RNAcentral.
GAUGAACGGCUGGCGGCGUCGCGUUAACACAGUGCAAGUCGAACGAAGCACUUUUGAUUGAUUCUUCGGGAUGAAAGAGAUUGUGACUGAGUGGCGGACGGGUGAGUAACGCGUGGGGUAACCUGCCUCAUACAGGGGGAUAACAGUUAGAAAUGACUGCUAAUACCGCAUAAGCGCACGGUAUCGCAUGAUACAGUGUGAAAGGCCGAGACGGUAUGAGAUGGACCCGCGUCUGAUUAGGUAGUUGGUGAGGUAACGGCCCACCAAGCCGACGAUCAGUAGCCGACCUGAGAGGGUGACCGGCCACAUUGGGACUGAGACACGGCCCAG